This 562-nucleotide ribosomal RNA is filed under the name uncultured bacterium. RNAcentral describes it as "partial 16S ribosomal RNA". It matches the Rfam family "Bacterial small subunit ribosomal RNA", at positions 355 to 905 of the family's 1533-position model. The record is from RNAcentral.
UGGGGAAUUUUGGACAAUGGGGGGAAACCCUGAUCCAGCCAUCCCGCGUGUGCGAUGAAGGCCUUCGGGUUGUAAAGCACUUUUGGCAGGAAAGAAACGUCGCGGGUUAAUACCCCGCGAAACUGACGGUACCUGCAGAAUAAGCACCGGCUAACUACGUGCCAGCAGCCGCGGUAAUACGUAGGGUGCAAGCGUUAAUCGGAAUUACUGGGCGUAAAGCGUGCGCAGGCGGUUCGGAAAGAAAGAUGUGAAAUCCCAGAGCUUAACUUUGGAACUGCAUUUUUAACUACCGGGCUAGAGUGUGUCAGAGGGAGGUGGAAUUCCGCGUGUAGCAGUGAAAUGCGUAGAUAUGCGGAGGAACACCGAUGGCGAAGGCAGCCUCCUGGGAUAACACUGACGCUCAUGCACGAAAGGCGUGGGGAGCAAACAGGAUUAGAUACCCUGGUAGUCCACGCCCUAAACGAUGUCAACUAGCUGUUGGGGCCUUCGGGCCUUGGUAGCGCAGCUAACGCGUGAAGUUGACCGCCUGGGGGAGUACGGUCGCAAGAUUAAAAAGCUCAAA